CGGGGUGAGUAACACGUGGGUAACCUGCCCCAUAAACCGGGACAACAGUUGGAAACGACUGCUAAUACCGGAUACUCUCGCGAGGAGGCAUCUCUUUGCGAGGAAAGGUGGCCUCUGAAUAUGCUACCGAUAUGGGAUGGACCCGCGUCUGAUUAGCUAGUUGGUGGGGUAACGGCCUACCAAGGCGACGAUCAGUAGCCGGCCUGAGAGGGUGACCGGCCACAUUGGGACUGAGACACGGCCCAAACUCCUACGGGAGGCAGCAG
This 266-nucleotide ribosomal RNA is filed under the name uncultured bacterium. Its description in RNAcentral is "partial 16S ribosomal RNA". It matches the Rfam family "Bacterial small subunit ribosomal RNA", at positions 100 to 354 of the family's 1533-position model. The record is from RNAcentral.